Salvia miltiorrhiza (redroot sage) is the source of this 788-nucleotide long non-coding RNA. RefSeq lists it as uncharacterized. NCBI's taxonomy places the organism in Eukaryota, Viridiplantae, Streptophyta, Magnoliopsida, Lamiales, Lamiaceae. The transcript has 4 exons. The record is from RefSeq and is a predicted model, not a curated record.
CCCUCUAGAAACACCUCCCACUUCCAUAUGCAAAAGCAGGUUUGGAGAAUGGGCUAUGAGCUCCUCUGCAACUCUCUCACUCUCUCAAACACACACGCAUACACGAAAAAUUAAUUAGAGACACUAAUUUAGAAAUCAUAUCGACAGUUUUUCAUCUCUCUUUGAAUUCUCCCAUCGACGCCAAUAAUUAGGCGCGCCAGCAUACUCUAUCACCCACAUGCCAUCAACCGCCACAAAAUCGUCGUCACCCGCCGCCCUUCGCAGUCAUCCCGGCAUGUACGGUUCUUCCAAAACCCCCAAACGAGCAGUUUUAUCGGAUCAAGCAUGCCUUGAUUUUGAUUCCAACAAGCUCCUGAUCUUUGCAAAGAAGCAAUCAAUAUAAAGGUGCUCUUUCCGGUGUGUGAAAUUAUUCGAUGGCCUUAAUUGAUAUGUUUAAAGAUGUUAAAACAUAUUCUCGAGAUGAGAUCGAUGAUGUUAGCAAGGAAUGGGCAAUUGUGCGAUAAAGCAUGUGUUUGAUUGAAUACCAGCAUUGUUUUGGAUAAAGAGAGUCAUUGAGCUAAAGGGGUGUGUGGAUUCCAAGCAAUAUUAUUCGCCAGAAAUGCUAUUUCAGAUGUCUAGCUAACUACAUCUGUAAUAUGUUCUUUCUUUGAAUUAAGUCGGUUAUUUUGCUGUUCUUUUAGAUAGGUUUUUUCAAUCUUAGAUUUUUUUUCUUAGUUGUGCAAUUUUAGUAGAAGAUACAAAGCACUUAAUAUUAUUUGGCAUGCUUGUUCAAUUUACAUAAAUGUGGA